GAUGAACGCUGGCGGCGUGCCUAAUACAUGCAAGUCGAGCGAACAGACGAGGAGCUUGCUCCUCUGACGUUAGCGGCGGACGGGUGAGUAACACGUGGAUAACCUACCUAUAAGACUGGGAUAACUUCGGGAAACCGGAGCUAAUACCGGAUAAUAUAUUGAACCGCAUGGUUCAAUAGUGAAAGACGGUUUUGCUGUCACUUAUAGAUGGAUCCGCGCCGCAUUAGCUAGUUGGUAAGGUAACGGCUUACCAAGGCGACGAUGCGUAGCCGACCUGAGAGGGUGAUCAGCCACACUGGAACUGAGACACGGUCCAGACUCCUACGGGAGGCAGCAGUAGGGAAUCUUCCGCAAUGGGCGAAAGCCUGACGGAGCAACGCCGCGUGAGUGAUGACGGUCUUCGGAUCGUAAAACUCUGUUAUUAGGGAAGAACAAAUGUGUAAGUAACUAUGCACGUCUUGACGGUACCUAAUCAGAAAGCCACGGCUAACUACGUG
RNAcentral lists this ribosomal RNA (497 nucleotides) under uncultured bacterium. RNAcentral's name for it is "partial 16S ribosomal RNA". It matches the Rfam family "Bacterial small subunit ribosomal RNA", at positions 28 to 507 of the family's 1533-position model. The record is from RNAcentral.